AAUGAAUGACUAAACUUUAACAGCAAUAAUAAUGCUAAGUCAUGCUGAAUAAUACAUUGCUUAGAUACAUUGAGUGCGUAUAACUGAACUAUUUUAGUUAGUGCUUUGUACUAAAAACCAUUGAAAAUUUAGAUUAUAAAGCAAAAACUAGUCCAGAAUAUCUCAAACCCAUUUAAAAUUGUCAUUAUUCUGCAUAAAUAGUACCAAACACACACAAUAUAAAAUAUGAAGAAUUUAAAAUGAUAAAUUAAAAAUAAAAUACCCAUUUACCGUCCAAUUAGAUUAAUGUAUAAGCUGAUUAAUUCAAUUCAUAAUUAAAACGAUCAAAAGUUUCAAACCUGAAAUAAAUCAGGAAAUAGACAUAAGAUCGAAUCUUGUAAAAACACAGUGCCAACUUUAUUCAAAAUAACAACUUACAAACAGAAUAUUGCGGCUCUUUCUAUUCCCUGUUAUUAAUGAUUUCCUAGAAAUAUCAAACAUACUUGAUAGUUACCCAGUCAUUGCUUUCUACUCGAGUAGUAAAAUUUCUAAUUCCAGUUGAGCAUUUCCUGAAAACAAACCCCAAAGAUUCUUCUAUGAACAAUUAAAUAUCAAUUUAAGUUCAAGCCACACAUAAUUACCAUAUACAUUAUUUAAAACCAUUUAGUUGAGGAACUAUUUCUAACUCCUCGAAGCUUUACUCAUAUUUUUAUGAUCCGAUCUUUUUUUAGUAGCUUUAUGUAAAGAACUUUGAGCUGUUGUGCUUCCACUACUUCGUACUUUGGGAAUUGCUCCUGAAUCAGGAGCUGAAAAUGGCCCCAUAGGAGAUAUUCUCAUUGCACCAGUUUGAAGAGAUGGAUAAGGAGAUUGAGAACCACUAUGGUCUUUUGUACUUGGAGAAGAGGUUGUUCUUCUAGAAGCACCAGAAGGAGUUCUUCUAGAAAUUGAGGCUGCCCUGGUACUUGUUAUUCGACACAUUUUACUAGUUUUGUACGACACUCCUUUAUCAGAGCAGCUUGGCUGUCUUAUGGGUGUUGGUCUAGAUGAUGCUGAAGGAGGAAAUUCAGAAGUUGCCUGAGUACUUCCUCCAGUGCCAGUUGAAGUCUCUCCAAUAAAACCGGGUCUAGAUGAGCUAGGCCUUGUAGCAAUGCUCCCCAGAGAAGAUUUUCUUUUUUGAAUCUUCUUUUUUGAAGACUUAUUCUUUUUGAAAAUUUUGUCUAGGGCUGACAUAUUGACCGAUGUAAUACUUAAUUUUUUCAUACAUUCUUUAACUUUUACAUGAGAUUUGAGGAACUCUUCGUCUUGGUCUUCUAAUCUACAAAGAUCUUGAACCAUUCUUUUUGGUAAAUUUUCUAUCUUUGAUUGAAUCAUACCCAUUGCC
This 1360-nucleotide non-coding RNA is filed under the name Cryptosporidium parvum. Lineage: Eukaryota; Apicomplexa; Conoidasida; Eucoccidiorida; Cryptosporidiidae. The record is from RNAcentral.